UCCCGUGUGGCUCAGUUGGUAGAGCAUGGCAACGCUAGGGUUGUGGGUUCGAUUCCCACACGGGGA
RNAcentral lists this transfer RNA (66 nucleotides) under Salmo salar (Atlantic salmon). It matches the Rfam family "tRNA". From Rfam's summary of the family: Transfer RNA (tRNA) molecules are approximately 80 nucleotides in length. Lineage: Eukaryota; Metazoa; Chordata; Actinopteri; Salmoniformes; Salmonidae. The record is from Rfam by way of RNAcentral.